CCCGAGCCCGAGCCGGAGGAGAAGGAUAAGCCCUGGUGGGAGCAGCCUGACCCUGAGCCGGCGCCAGCUGAUGAGGAGCCGGCGGCCGCGGAUGAGCCGGAGGCAGAGCCGGGGCCGGCUCCGCAGGAGGAGGGGGAGGAGGAGCCGGCAGCAAAGGAGAAGCCUUGGUGGGAGCAGCCUGACCCUGAGCUGGCGGCGGCUGAGGAUGAGCCGGCGGCCGCGGCUGAGCCGGAGGCAGAGCCGGAGCCGGCGCAUAAGGAGGAGGAGGAGGAGGAGGAGGAGCCGAAGGAGAAGCCUUGGUGGGAGCAGCCUGACCCUGAGCCGGCGGCGGCUGAGGAUGAGCCGGAGCCUGCGGCUGAGCCGGAGGCAGAGCCGGAGCCGGCGGCAAAAGAGAAGCCCUGGUGGGAGCAGCCUGACCCUGAGAAGGCAGCAGCUGAUGAGGAGCCGGCGGCCGCGGCUGAGCCGGAGGCAGAGCCGGAGCCGGCGCCCAAGGAGGAGGACGAGCCGGCGGCAAAGGAGAAGCCUUGGUGGGAGCAGCCUGACCCUGAGCCGGCGGCGGCUGAUGAGGAGCCGGCGGCCGCGGAUGAGCCGGAGGCAGAGCCGGGGCCGGCUCCGCAGGAGGAGGGGGAGGAGGAGCCGGCAGCAAAGGAGAAGCCUUGGUGGGAGCAGCCUGACCCUGAGCUGGCGGCGGCUGAGGAUGAGCCGGCGGCCGCGGCUGAGCCGGAGGCAGAGCCGGAGCCGGCGCAUAAGGAGGAGGAGGAGGAGG
This 766-nucleotide long non-coding RNA is filed under the name Chlamydomonas reinhardtii. RNAcentral describes it as "long non-coding RNA (CREI_LNC000784)". The record is from RNAcentral. Lineage: Eukaryota; Viridiplantae; Chlorophyta; Chlorophyceae; Chlamydomonadales; Chlamydomonadaceae.